Molecule: long non-coding RNA, 708 nt
Organism: Anas platyrhynchos (mallard)
Lineage: Eukaryota; Metazoa; Chordata; Aves; Anseriformes; Anatidae
Source: RefSeq, a predicted model, not a curated record
GGGUGGUAUUUAAGGGGCGGGGAAGGGCUACCUGCCCUCUUUGCCCGCCAGACGCCGACGUGUGUCGAGCCGCGGGGAGGAUGGCGGCAGAAAGUGUCCCGAGGUGUCGGUGGGGCUUUGGGGAGCUCCUGAAGGCUGCAGUGUGCCCCGUGUGGGUGGGAGGCUGAGCGCCAUGGGCCCCCAGGGCUGGGGUCUGGAGUCGCCCCUUCAAAUACCUGUAGGGGACACUUAGAAAUUUCAUGUUUGAAAUGGUCUGGAUAGGGAUGACCACACCCAAAUUGGAGGCAGUGCUCAGAACUACUUAAGAAUGAAUAAUACCUUCUGGUAAGAAGAGUUUUCAAGUGUGAUGGUACUGCUUGACCACCUAGAAUGCACUUCGUGAGCUUGUGUGAUAAACAACUUGAGUCAAGAGUUGCUUCUAAAUUGAUUGCUCUUCAGAGAGCCAGUGUGUGCAAGGGAUUAGAACUGAUACUAAACAUCAGUUUAUGAUUUGCUGAGUGGAUGACUGCUGACUUCACCCAAGAUGACUCCAGUUGUCCUCUGUGAUGUGUUGUCUUGAAAGUGGAACUGAGAUAAGCAAUGGCUACAGCUACACAUCUUCAGUGGUUGUUCAAACAAUCUAGCUAUUAGUUGAAACUGAAGUUUCUUAAAGUUUUGUAACUUAUUUGUCUGUGUAUUAAUUGAAAUAAAACAAAGAUGGUACCAGAA